Molecule: long non-coding RNA, 3330 nt
Filed under: Homo sapiens (human)
Lineage: Eukaryota; Metazoa; Chordata; Mammalia; Primates; Hominidae
Description: long independently transcribed non-coding RNA 345, transcript variant 2 (LINC00345)
Source: RNAcentral
AGCCCAGCGGACUAACUAGGGUCCGGCCUCAGAAAGGGUCUCGGGGAGCCCAGAGGAUAUGUGGUGCCUGUCAUAAGGUCCAGCGAGCUGCCUUCCACGAGACCAGCAGAAGAGUGGGCAAACGUGAAGUCCAGUCCUGCUGCCCAGGCUGCCAUUGACCUCACGGCGGGGGCUGCAGGGUAGUUAGAAACCACGCAAGAGAUCGCGGAGCCAAGGAGGCCGAAUAGGAACAGCUCCGGUCUACAGCUCCCAGUGUGAGCGACGCAGAAGACGGGUGAUUUCUGCAUUUCCAUCUGAGGUACCGGGUUCAUCUCACUAGGGAGUGCCAGACAGUGGGCGCAGGUCACUGGGUGCAGCGCACCAGGCGCGAGCCGAAGCAGGGCGAGGCAUUGGCUCACUGGGGAAGCGCAAGGGGUCAGGGAGUUCCCUUUCCUAGUCAAAGAAAGGGGUGACACACGGCACCUGGAAAAUUGGGUCACUCCCACCCCAAUACUGCGCUUUUCCGACGGGCUUAAAAAACGGCGCACCAGGAGAUUAUAUCCUGCACAUGGCUUGGAGGGUCCUACGCCCACAGAGUCUCGCUGAUUGCUAGCACAGCAGUCUGAGAUCAAAUUGCAAGGCGGCAGCGAGGCUGGGGGAGGGGCGCCCGCCAUUGCCCAGGCUUGCUUAGGUAAACAAAGCAGCCGGGAAGCUCCAACUGGGUGGAGCCCACCACAGCUCAAGGAGGCCCGCCUGCCUCUGUAGGCUCCACCUCUGGGGGCAGGGCACAGACAAACAAAAAGACAGCAGUAACCUCUGCAGACUUAAAUGUCCCUGUCUGACAGCUUUGAAGAGAGCAGUGGUUCUCCCAGCAUGCAGCUGGAGAUCUGAGAACGGGCAGACUGCCUCCUCAAGUGGGUCCCUGACCCCUGACCCCUGAGCAGCCUAACUGGGAGGCACCCCCCAGUAGGGGCAGACUGACACCUCACACGGCCGGGUACUCCUCUGAGACAAAACUUCCAGAGGAACUAUCAGACAGCAGUAUUCGCGGUUCACGAAAAACCACUGUUCGGCAGACACCGCUGCUGAUACCCAGGGUCUGGAGUGGACCUCUAGCAAACUCCAACAGACCUGCAGCUGAGGGUCCUGUCUGUUACAAGGAAAACUAACAAACAGAAAGGACAUCCACACCAAAAACCCAUCUGUACAUCACCAUCAUCAAAGACCAAAAGUAGAUAAAACCACAAAGAUGGGGAAAAAACAUAGCAGAAAAACUGGAAACUCUAAAAAGCAGAGCGCCUCUCCUCCUCCAAAGGAUCGCAGUUCCUCACCAGCAAUAGAACAAAGCUGGAUGGAGAAUGACUUUGACGAAUUGAGAGAAGAAGUCUUCAGAUGAUCAAACUACGAGCUACAGGAGGAAAUUCAAACCAAAGGCAAAGAAGUUAAAAACUUUGAAAAAAAUUUAGACGAAACGUAUAACUAGAAUAACCAAUACAGAGAAGUGCCUAAAGAAGCUGAUGGAGCUGAAAGCCAAGGCUCAAGAACUGCGUGAAGAAUGCAGAAGCCUCAGGAGCCGAUGCGAUCAACUGGAAGAAAGGGUAUCAGCGAUGGAAGAUGAAAUGAAUGAAAUGAAGCGAGAAGGGAAGUUUAGAGAAAAAAGAAUAAAAAGAAACGAAUAAAGCCUCCAAGAAAUAUGGGACUAUGUGAAAAGACCAAAUCUACGUCUGAUUGGUGUACCUGAAAGUGACGGGCAGAAUGGAACCAAGUUGGAAAACACUCUGCAGGAUAUUAUCCAGGAGAACUUCCCCAAUCUAGCAAGGCAGGCCAACAUUCAGAUUCAGGAAAUACAGAGAACGCCACAAAGACACUCCUCGAGAAGAGCAACUCCAAGACACAUAAUUGUCAGAUUCACCAAAGUUGAAAUGAAGGAAAAAAUGUUAAGGGCAGCCAGAGAGAAAGGUCGGGUUACCCACAAAUGGAAGCCCAUCAGACUAACGGCGGAUCUCUCGGCAGAAACUCUACAAGCCAGAACAGAGUGGGAGCCGAUAUUCAACAUUCUUAAAGAAAAGAAUUUUCAACCCAGAAUUUCAUAUCCAGCCAAACUAAGCUUCAUAAGUGAAGGAGAAAUAAAAUCCUUUACAGACAAGCAAAUGCUGAGAGAUUUUGUCACCACCAGGCCUGCCCUACAAGAGCUCCUGAAGGAAGCACUAAGCAUGGAAAGGAACAACCGGUACCAGCCGCUGCAAAAUCAUGCCAAAAUGUAAAGACCAUCGAGACUAGGAAGAAACUGCAUCAACUAACGAGCAAAAUAACCAGCUAACAUCAUAAUGACAGGUUCAAAUUCACACAUAACAAUAUUAACUUUAAAUGUAAAUGGACUAAAUGCUCCAAUUAAUGACACAGACUGGCAAAUUGGAUAAAGAGUCAAGACCCAUCAGUGUGUUGUAUUCAGGAAACCCAUCUCACAUGCAGAGACACAUAUAGGCUCAAAAUAAAAGGAUGGAGGAAGAUCUACCAAGCACAUGGAAAACAAAACAAGGCAGGGGUUGCAAUCCUAGUCUCUGAUACAACAGACUUCAAACCAACAAAGAUCAAAAGAGACAAAGAAGGCCAUUACAUAAUGGUAAAGGGAUCAAUUCAACAAGAAGAGCUAACUAUCCUAAAUAUAUAUGAACCCAAUACAGGUGCAUCCAGAUUCAUAAAGCAAGUCCUGAGUGACCUACAAAGAGACUUAGACUCCCACACAUUAAUAAUGGGAGACUUUAACACCCCACUGUCAACAUUAGACAGAUCAGUGAGACAGAAAGUCAACAAGGAUACCCAGGAAUUGAACUCAGCUCUGCACCAAGCAGACCUAAUAGACAUCUACAGAACUCUCCACCCCAAAUCAACAGAAUAUACAUUUUUUUCAGCACCACACCACACCUAUUCCAAAAUUGACCACAUAGUUGGAAGUAAAGCUCUCCUCAGCAAAUGUAAAAGAACAGAAAUUAUAACAAACUAUCUCUCAGACCACAGAGCAAUCAAACUAGAACUCAGGAUUAAGAAACUCACUCAAAACCGCUCAACUACAUGGAAACUGAACAACCUGCUCCUGAAUGACUACUGGGUACAUAACGAAAUGAAGGCAGAAAUAAAGAUGUUCUUUGAAACCAACGAGAACAAAGACACAACAUACCAGAAUCUCUGGGACACAUUCAAAGCAGUGUGUAGACGGAAAUUUAUAGCACUAAAUGCCCACAAGAGAAAGCAGGAAAGAUCCAAAAUUGACACCCUAACAUCACAAUUAAAAGAACUAGAAAAGCAAGAGCACACAUUCAAAAGCUAGCAGAAGGCAAGAAAUAACUAAAA